CCUUCGAUAGCUCAGUUGGUAGAGCGGUGGACUGUAGUUGGCAUGGUUACACGGAGACAUCCAUAGGUCGCUGGUUCAAAUCCGGCUCGAAGGA
This 94-nucleotide transfer RNA is filed under the name Lasius niger. It matches the Rfam family "tRNA". From Rfam's summary of the family: Transfer RNA (tRNA) molecules are approximately 80 nucleotides in length. Their secondary structure includes four short double-helical elements and three loops (D, anti-codon, and T loops). Lineage: Eukaryota; Metazoa; Arthropoda; Insecta; Hymenoptera; Formicidae. The record is from Rfam by way of RNAcentral.